This 412-nucleotide ribosomal RNA is filed under the name uncultured bacterium. Its description in RNAcentral is "bacterial SSU rRNA". It matches the Rfam family "Bacterial small subunit ribosomal RNA", at positions 117 to 518 of the family's 1533-position model. The record is from RNAcentral.
GUGGGUGACAUACCCUCAGAUGGGGAUAGCUAUUAGAAAUAGUAGAUAAUACCGAAUACGAGCACAGGGGGUUAGAGAUCUGUGAGGAAAGGAGCUAAGGCUCCGCUGAAGGAAUGGCCUGCGGCCCAUUAGCUAGUUGGUGAGGUAAGAGCCCACCAAGGCGAUGAUGGGUAUCCGGCUUAGAGGGUGAACGGACACAUUGGGACUGAGAUACGGCCCAGACUCCUACGGGAGGCAGCAGCUAAGAAUAUUCCGCAAUGGACGAAAGUCUGACGGAGCGACGCCGCGUGGAUGAAGAAGGCCGGAAGGUUGUAAAAUCCUUUUGAAACUGAAGAAUAAGCGUUGUAGGGAAUGACAGCGUGGUGACAGUAGGUUUUGAAUAAGCAACGGCUAAUUACGUGCCAGCCGCGGC